AUCUUUGGUUAUCUAGCUGUAUGAGUGACGUACAUUCUUCAUAAAGCUAGAUAACCGAAAGU
Xiphophorus maculatus (southern platyfish) is the source of this 62-nucleotide non-coding RNA. The record is from Rfam. Lineage: Eukaryota; Metazoa; Chordata; Actinopteri; Cyprinodontiformes; Poeciliidae.